This is a long non-coding RNA of Papaver somniferum (opium poppy), 2186 nucleotides long. RefSeq lists it as uncharacterized. The record is from RefSeq and is a predicted model, not a curated record. Lineage: Eukaryota; Viridiplantae; Streptophyta; Magnoliopsida; Ranunculales; Papaveraceae. The transcript has 4 exons.
CUCUUUUCUUUUUUCCCAUCUCUUGGCUCGUAUCUCUCUCUCUCUUUCUCCGGCUCUCCUUCCGUCACUGUUAUCAAACAAACAAAAAACAGAACCCAUCUUCUAUCACUGCCUAAGUAUCACCACUAUCUCUCUUUCAAAUGUCGUCUGAUUCUUCUCUCAGACAGCAAAUUGAAGGUCCGUCAUUACCAAUCGACCAACUUCAAGCCCAAUCGCGAACACAAACUCAUCCCUUUGGGAUUCCCGACAUCUACAGAUUUCUUUGAUGCUUAAUCAAUGGGUUAAUUUUUCAGAGUACAUGACUUAGUCAUUGCAAAUCGAUGGCACUAAAAAGGAGAAAGCUCCAGUACCACCUUCAAAGCAAGCUAAAUCUGGCGGUGGUAAACAAAGAAGAAGAAGUGGAGCAAAGUAUAGCAUAAGCAGAAGGUUAACAACAUGGUCGUUUGAUCAAGAUAAGGUUUAUUUUGUGAAUUUUUUUCUAAGAUUACAAAUUAUAUUAUCGCACAGGUAGGAGGUUUUCUGCUAUUUUUAUGCCUAGCUUUCAAUUAUGCCAACAGUCAAUGAAAUGUUUGAUGAGUUUUUGUUGUAGUUGUCGAGAGCAAAAGAAAAUGAAUUUCCUUUUGUACCUAUGCUAAUGUUUUAUGAUUGGGUCGACCCUUAGUGAAAUUUUGAUUCUUGAUACCUCGUGUCAAUCCUGUCGAUUUAAGGAAAAAUCCCAUUCCUUCAAAAACAUGCUCUAACUCCAUUAUGGUGUUUUGUUUCGAACUUUUGUGAUAAAAUUCUUAAUCCAGUUUUACUUGUUUUCCCUCAUGGUAAGAAGAAAAUUUUCUUUAGAAUAUGGAAAUGCCGUAUUAAUUUUAGGUACUAUAAUAUAGAGUAUUUGCUUGUUAUCUUGAAUUUCGGCACAGACUUCUACAAAAGGAAGGAUUGGAUACUUUAGAUGGCACCGACUUUUGCCAUCUAAAGUAAGUUAUGUUUUUUAGAUAAUGAACCAAAUGCAUGAUUAAAUGUACAAUCAAGUGACUGAAUGUACCGUUAAUCUAAAUGUUCGGAAAUUCUAUUCUUAGUCUUAUAGCUUCUCACAUGGUAACCAGCAAUCCAGACUUACACUCAUCAUUCACAUAACUGUUCUGAAUCUCUCUUCUACCUAAUCAUCCCCCAAUUUUGUUUAACCAAACCUUUCUGCAACCUUAAUCCACUUACACCUCUAGAGAGUAAGUGGUAGCAGCAAGAAGAAUAAGUAUCCACAUGCUCUAUGAAGAAACAUUCAGAAAGGAGAGUAUAAGCAAACCCAUCUUUUUAUUUUAAGGAUAGCAUUAGUUGGUUGGAAUUUCUCGUGCAAUAUAAAAUGUGAGUUGGAUGUUAUGCCCUUCUCGUUUCCUUAGACCUGCUUUUAUUUGUAGAGUUAAUCUAAAGUUCCCCUGAUGUGUUGGUCUGGAGAAAUUGAGAUCCAAACCUUUUAUGAUACCCUCACUAAAGGAACGUGUGGAGUUGUUUGGAUUUCUGAUGAAGCCUGCAUUAGAUGGAUAAGUAGACAUUAUUAGUGUUUAUUUGUGUUGUCUGUGUCUAAGCUAAUAGGAUUCAGAAACUCAUCCAAUCAAUAUUUGUUAUCUUUUCUUAGUUAUUAUGUUUUAUAUCAUUAGAAUUACCUACCUGUUUGACAUUCUGGUGCACUUGCUAAUUUUUUACUCUACCGUGUAUCUUUAUAUAGGAAACGAUGAAUGAGCUAUUGCAGCAAGGAGGGAGCUCCACCGCCCACUGAGGAUGAAUGAGCUAUUGCAGCAAGGAGGGAGCUCCACCACCCACUGAGGCAGAAGUAUGUGCUCAAGUUUUGAAGAGAAAGCGAAGACGAUGAUGUGCUACAACCACUGCUGAUUCUAACAGUGAAGGACUUCAAGCAAUGAUACAAGCGCAGGCUGACCAAAUAUGUGCAAAAAAUGAGAUUUUUAAAAAGCUGAAAGAAGAUAAUGAAAAGUUCACACAAAACAUGCAGAGAAUCUGAUGGGUACACUCGGGCUAAGUAACAGUACGGCUGAUGGAUCAACUUAAUCUUGAAUGUUGGACCAGUUGUUGCUUGUCACAUUAAUGUUUUAGAUUAUUCUUGGUAUUAUUUUUGUACUUGCAGGUGUUUUUUAGUUUGUAUAUUAGUUCAACAAUUUUUUUAAUGGCUAAUUAUUUUUAUUCAA